This 477-nucleotide ribosomal RNA is filed under the name uncultured bacterium. RNAcentral describes it as "SSU rRNA". It matches the Rfam family "Bacterial small subunit ribosomal RNA", at positions 26 to 518 of the family's 1533-position model. The record is from RNAcentral.
AGAAUGAACGUUGGCGGCGUGGAUUAGGCAUGCAAGUCGAACGGAUCCGGUCUUCGGACCGGGUUAGUGGCGCAAGGGUGAGUAAGGCGACGGUAACCAACCCCGAGAUUGGGUAUAGCCGCGGGAAACUGCGGGUAAUCCCCAGCGAUGCGUCGGGCCGGCAUCGGCCUGACGUCAAAGUUUCAACGUCUUGGGACGGGCUGUCGUGGUAUUAGGUAGUUGGCGGGGUAAUGGCCCACCAAGCCUUCGAUGCCUACCGGGCGUGCGAGCGUGGCCCGGCACACUGGGACUGAGACACUGCCCAGACACCUACGGGUGGCUGCAGUCGAGAAUCUUCGGCAAUGGGCGCAAGCCUGACCGAGCGACGCCGCGUGGAGGAUGAAGGCCUUCGGGUUGUAAACUCCUGUCGAGGGGGAGGAAGGGGAACCUUGACCUAUCCCUGGAGGAAGCACGGGCUAAGUUCGUGCCAGCAGCCGC